GCCAUACAACUUACUUCAGGCAUGAGCAAGGCAAACAAGUGGUUGGACUGCACUGGGCAUACAUCUGAUCAGAGGUCUAAUUUGGGCAUAUAGCUGGUAUGACGUGGGUACAAGGGUCAUGCCUUUAAUCCACUGGUUUUCAAGCCGGUCCUUAGGCCUCCCUAACAGGCCAGGUUUUCAGGAUUACUUUGGGUGAGAGCAGGGAAUACAACCAUGGAUCCAAGACUAAAAAAACAGUUGUCAUUGAAUUUCUGACGAAAGAGGUUUACGCACCUAAGGAAAUCCAUAAUCGUCUGAAGAGAUGUUAUGGGGACGCUGUAGUAGACAUUAGAAAUGUUAGGCAUUGGGUGAAGAAGUUUCAAGAAGGAGAAACCAAAAUUGCAGAUAAACUGAGUAGUGGCCAUCCGUCAACAUCAGCCAGACUUAUUACAUUACAGACUCAUGGCGGUUUAUGAUAUAGUGGCGUCUGAGGGAUUGGAGAUCACGAGCAUUCAGAAGUGGUUUUUCGGCCUUGCCCUUUAUCACUGAGAUUUGACGAGAUUCCUUGAAUCUUUUAAUUAUAUUGUGCACUGUGAAAUAACAAAUAUCCUAACAAUUUGUCUUUUGGGAAUGUUGUUCUCAAAGUGUUGGUUUAUUCACUGAUGCAUCUAUUGGCAGAUCGGCGAGCCUCAACAUCUUUGCUCUUAAAGUACUAGGCCUUUUUUGGAAGCUCCUUAUAUACUAUAAUUACACAAUUGCCUUACCUGUGUCACAUCACCUUCUUAUUUCAACUUGUCACAUCGAUAUUAGUCCUAAAUUGCCCCUGUCUUUUUUGGAGUGUGUUGCAAUUAUCAGAUUUGAAAUUAGUGCAUAUUUUCAAAAGUACAUUAAAUUCACAAAGUAAAACAUCAAA
This is an RNA transcript of Bombina bombina (fire-bellied toad), 892 nucleotides long. It is a transcript of the gene named GVQW motif containing 3, with no coding region annotated. The record is from RefSeq and is a predicted model, not a curated record. The transcript has 2 exons. Lineage: Eukaryota; Metazoa; Chordata; Amphibia; Anura; Bombinatoridae.